Molecule: small nuclear RNA, 161 nt
Organism: Panicum virgatum (switchgrass)
Lineage: Eukaryota; Viridiplantae; Streptophyta; Magnoliopsida; Poales; Poaceae
Product: U1 spliceosomal RNA
Exons: 1
Source: RefSeq, a predicted model, not a curated record
AUACUUACCUUGACGGGGUCUAUGGGUGAUCAAGAAGGCUCAUGGCCUAGGUUAACGGCUUCCAUUGCACUUUGGAAGAGCGUUGGCCUACCAUCUCCUUAAAUGGGAGAGUGAACGUCAUAAUUUGUGGCAGAGGGGGUAUGCGUUCGCGCGGCCCCUAC